This 460-nucleotide ribosomal RNA is filed under the name uncultured bacterium. RNAcentral describes it as "partial 16S ribosomal RNA". It matches the Rfam family "Bacterial small subunit ribosomal RNA", at positions 338 to 795 of the family's 1533-position model. The record is from RNAcentral.
CCUACGGGGCGCUGCAGUGAGGAAUAUUGGUCAAUGGACGAGAGUCUGAACCAGCCAAGUAGCGUGAAGGAUGACUGCCCUAUGGGUUGUAAACUUCUUUUAUAAAGGAAUAAAACGAGGCACGUGUGCCUUUUUGCAUGUACUUUAUGAAUAAGGAUCGGCUAACUCCGUGCCAGCAGCCGCGGUAAUACGGAGGAUCCGAGCGUUAUCCGGCUUUAUUGGGUUUAAAGGGAGCGUAGAUGGGUUGUUAAGUCAGUUGUUAAAGUUUGCGGCUCAACCGUACAAUUGCAAUUGAUACUGGCAGUCUUGAGUACAGUUGAGGUAGGCGGAAUUCGUGGUGUAGCGGUGAAAUGCUUAGAUAUCACGAAGAACCCCGAUUGCGAAGGCAGCUUACUAAACUGUGACUGACAUUGAUGCUCGAAAGUGUGGGUAUCAAACAGGAUUAGAUACCCUUGUAGUC